Molecule: ribosomal RNA, 451 nt
Filed under: uncultured bacterium
Lineage: Bacteria
Description: bacterial SSU rRNA
Rfam family: Bacterial small subunit ribosomal RNA
Source: RNAcentral
AAUCAACGCUGGCGGCGUGCCUCAGACAUGCAAGUCGAACGAUUAAAGCUCUCUUCGGAGAGUGCAUAGAGUGGCGCACGGGUGAGUAACACGUAAGUAAUCUACCUUCGAGUGGGGAAUAACAUCGGGAAACCGAUGCUAAUACCGCAUAAUGCAGCGGCAUCGCAAGAUGACAGUUGUUAAAGGAAUUUAUUUCGCUUGAAGAGGAGCUUGCGGCAGAUUAGCUAGUUGGUAAGGUAAUGGCUUACCAAGGCUACGAUCUGUAACCGGUCUAAGAGGACGGUCGGUCACACUGACACUGAAUAACGGGUCAGACUCCUACGGGAGGCAGCAGUCGGGAAUUUUGGGCAAUGGGCGAAAGCCUGACCCAGCAACGCCGCGUGAAGGAUGAAGUAUUUCGGUAUGUAAACUUCGAAAGAAUAGGAAGAAUAAAUGACGGUACUAUUUAUAA